UAAGGCAUUUUAGGCAUGUUUUGGGUAUGAAAUUUGAUAUGAUGUUUUAUGGGUAUUUUUAAAUGAGAGUUCAAUGUAUUACUGCCAUCAUUAUGAUGAGAAAUCCAUGCCAUUGUCAGGAUAAGCACAUCAAUACCUAAGACACCACUUGUUACACGGUGAAUUAUAUUUUGGACAGAAGGUAGAGAAAGAAAUGUGUGAAUGACAUGAGGAGAACUAAAGCAUGGUCCUGACCCUGAUUUGUACAUAUGAACAUAUCGACCUUUUGUGGGUUAUUUCAGUUAUCAGUGAGAUGUUUGUAAUAAAGUGUGAAGUUAUGUUUUGAAAAUAAAUUGGGUUAUUUAAUACUUA
Molecule: long non-coding RNA, 351 nt
Organism: Humulus lupulus (European hop)
Lineage: Eukaryota; Viridiplantae; Streptophyta; Magnoliopsida; Rosales; Cannabaceae
Exons: 2
Source: RefSeq, a predicted model, not a curated record